GUUAAGCGACUAAGCGUACACGGUGGAUGCCCUGGCAGUCAGAGGCGAUGAAGGACGUGCUAAUCUGCGAUAAGCGUCGGUGAGGUGAUAUGAACCGUUAUAACCGGCGAUUUCCGAAUGGGGAAACCCAGUGUGUUUCGACACACUAUCAUUAACUGAAUCCAUAGGUUAAUGAGGCGAACCGGGGGAACUGAAACAUCUAAGUACCCCGAGGAAAAGAAAUCAACCGAGAUUCCCCCAGUAGCGGCGAGCGAACGGGGAGGAGCCCAGAGCCUGAAUCAGUGUGUGUGUUAGUGGAAGCGUCUGGAAAGGCGUGCGAUACAGGGUGACAGCCCCGUACACAAAAAUGCACAUAUUGUGAGCUCGAUGAGUAGGGCGGGACACGUGGUAUCCUGUCUGAAUAUGGGGGGACCAUCCUCCAAGGCUAAAUACUCCUGACUGACCGAUAGUGAACCAGUACCGUGAGGGAAAGGCGAAAAGAACCCCGGCGAGGGGAGUGAAAAAGAACCUGAAACCGUGUACGUACAAGCAGUGGGAGCCUCUUAAUGGGGUGACUGCGUACCUUUUGUAUAAUGGGUCAGCGACUUAUAUUCUGUAGCAAGGUUAACCGAAUAGGGGAGCCGAAGGGAAACCGAGUCUUAACUGGGCGUUAAGUUGCAGGGUAUAGACCCGAAACCCGGUGAUCUAGCCAUGGGCAGGUUGAAGGUUGGGUAACACUAACUGGAGGACCGAACCGACUAAUGUUGAAAAAUUAGCGGAUGACUUGUGGCUGGGGGUGAAAGGCCAAUCAAACCGGGAGAUAGCUGGUUCUCCCCGAAAGCUAUUUAGGUAGCGCCUCGUGAAUUCAUCUCCGGGGGUAGAGCACUGUUUCGGCAAGGGGGUCAUCCCGACUUACCAACCCGAUGCAAACUGCGAAUACCGGAGAAUGUUAUCACGGGAGACACACGGCGGGUGCUAACGUCCGUCGUGAAGAGGGAAACAACCCAGACCGCCAGCUAAGGUCCCAAAGUCAUGGUUAAGUGGGAAACGAUGUGGGAAGGCCCAGACAGCCAGGAUGUUGGCUUAGAAGCAGCCAUCAUUUAAAGAAAGCGUAAUAGCUCACUGGUCGAGUCGGCCUGCGCGGAAGAUGUAACGGGGCUAAACCAUGCACCGAAGCUGCGGCAGCGACACUAUGUGUUGUUGGGUAGGGGAGCGUUCUGUAAGCCUGUGAAGGUGGCCUGUGAGGGUUGCUGGAGGUAUCAGAAGUGCGAAUGCUGACAUAAGUAACGAUAAAGCGGGUGAAAAGCCCGCUCGCCGGAAGACCAAGGGUUCCUGUCCAACGUUAAUCGGGGCAGGGUGAGUCGACCCCUAAGGCGAGGCCGAAAGGCGUAGUCGAUGGGAAACAGGUUAAUAUUCCUGUACUUGGUGUUACUGCGAAGGGGGGACGGAGAAGGCUAUGUUGGCCGGGCGACGGUUGUCCCGGUUUAAGCGUGUAGGCUGGUUUUCCAGGCAAAUCCGGAAAACCAAGGCUGAGGCGUGAUGACGAGGCACUACGGUGCUGAAGCGACAAAUGCCCUGCUUCCAGGAAAAGCCUCUAAGCAUCAGGUAACAUCAAAUCGUACCCCAAACCGACACAGGUGGUCAGGUAGAGAAUACCAAGGCGCUUGAGAGAACUCGGGUGAAGGAACUAGGCAAAAUGGUGCCGUAACUUCGGGAGAAGGCACGCUGAUAUGUAGGUGAAGCGACUUGCUCGUGGAGCUGAAAUCAGUCGAAGAUACCAGCUGGCUGCAACUGUUUAUUAAAAACACAGCACUGUGCAAACACGAAAGUGGACGUAUACGGUGUGACGCCUGCCCGGUGCCGGAAGGUUAAUUGAUGGGGUUAGCGGCAACGCGAAGCUCUUGAUCGAAGCCCCGGUAAACGGCGGCCGUAACUAUAACGGUCCUAAGGUAGCGAAAUUCCUUGUCGGGUAAGUUCCGACCUGCACGAAUGGCGUAAUGAUGGCCAGGCUGUCUCCACCCGAGACUCAGUGAAAUUGAACUCGCUGUGAAGAUGCAGUGUACCCGCGGCAAGACGGAAAGACCCCGUGAACCUUUACUAUAGCUUGACACUGAACAUUGAGCCUUGAUGUGUAGGAUAGGUGGGAGGCUUUGAAGUGUGGACGCCAGUCUGCAUGGAGCCGACCUUGAAAUACCACCCUUUAAUGUUUGAUGUUCUAACGUUGGCCCGUAAUCCGGGUUGCGGACAGUGUCUGGUGGGUAGUUUGACUGGGGCGGUCUCCUCCUAAAGAGUAACGGAGGAGCACGAAGGUUGGCUAAUCCUGGUCGGACAUCAGGAGGUUAGUGCAAUGGCAUAAGCCAGCUUGACUGCGAGCGUGACGGCGCGAGCAGGUGCGAAAGCAGGUCAUAGUGAUCCGGUGGUUCUGAAUGGAAGGGCCAUCGCUCAACGGAUAAAAGGUACUCCGGGGAUAACAGGCUGAUACCGCCCAAGAGUUCAUAUCGACGGCGGUGUUUGGCACCUCGAUGUCGGCUCAUCACAUCCUGGGGCUGAAGUAGGUCCCAAGGGUAUGGCUGUUCGCCAUUUAAAGUGGUACGCGAGCUGGGUUUAGAACGUCGUGAGACAGUUCGGUCCCUAUCUGCCGUGGGCGCUGGAGAACUGAGGGGGGCUGCUCCUAGUACGAGAGGACCGGAGUGGACGCAUCACUGGUGUUCGGGUUGUCAUGCCAAUGGCACUGCCCGGUAGCUAAAUGCGGAAGAGAUAAGUGCUGAAAGCAUCUAAGCACGAAACUUGCCCCGAGAUGAGUUCUCCCUGAGACUUAGAGUCUCCUGAAGGAACGUUGAAGACGACGACGUUGAUAGGCCGGGUGUGUAAGCGCAGCGAUGCGUUGAGCUAACCGGUACUAAUGAACCGUGAGGCUUAACCUUACAACGCCGAAG
This 2915-nucleotide ribosomal RNA is filed under the name Escherichia coli. Its description in RNAcentral is "partial 23S ribosomal RNA". It matches the Rfam family "Bacterial large subunit ribosomal RNA". The record is from RNAcentral. Lineage: Bacteria; Pseudomonadati; Pseudomonadota; Gammaproteobacteria; Enterobacterales; Enterobacteriaceae.